This 1122-nucleotide ribosomal RNA is filed under the name Triticum aestivum (bread wheat). RNAcentral's name for it is "partial small subunit ribosomal RNA". The record is from RNAcentral. Lineage: Eukaryota; Viridiplantae; Streptophyta; Magnoliopsida; Poales; Poaceae.
AUGGCCAUGGCCGGCGAAUGCACGACCGGAGCCGGAGGAGCAACGCGCCGCCUCAUUCUCAUCAUAACAGCACUCGUGGCAUUGAUGCUGCUGCAGCGUCCCUGCUGCUGCACUGCCGCUUCCCAGCCGGGCUCGAGCCAGACGCGGCCGCCGGCGCUGAUCCUGUUCGGGGACUCCAUCGUGGACCCGGGCAACAACAACGGCCUCACCACGGCGGUGCGGUGCGACUUCGCGCCCUACGGCCAGGACUUCCCCGCCCACAACGCCACCGGCAGGUUCAGCAACGGCAAGAUCGUCGGCGACAUCCUCGCCGCCCGGAUGGGCCUGAAGCAGUACGUGCCGGCGUACCUCGGCACGGAGCUCAGCGACUCGGACCUCCUCACCGGCGUCAGCUUCGCCUCCGGUGGCUGCGGCUUCGACCCCCUCACGGCCGAGAUCGUGUCGGUUCUGAGCAUGGACGACCAGCUGGAGCUGUUCAAGGAGUACAAGGGUAAGAUCGGCCGCAUCGCCGGCGCGCAGCGAGCCGCCGACAUCGUCUCGACGAGCCUCUACCUGGUGGUGACCGGCACCGACGACCUGGCCAACACCUACUUCACGACGCCGCUCCGGCGAGACUACGACCUCGAGUCCUACAUCGAGUUCAUCGUGCAGUGCGCCUCGGCCUUCAUCCAGAAGCUGCACGGGCUGGGCGCGCGGCGGGUGAGCGUCGCCGGCGCCCCGCCCAUCGGGUGCGUGCCGUCGCAGCGGACCAACGCCGGCGGCGAGGAGAGGGCGUGCGUGUCCCUGUACAACCAGGCGGCCGUGCUGUACAACGCGGCGCUGGAGAAGGAGCUCCGACGGCUCAACGGCACGGCGCUGCUCCCGGGGUCGGUGCUCAAGUACAUCGACCUCUACACGCCGCUGCUGGACAUGAUCCAGCGCCCGGCCGCCUACGGCUUCCAGGUGUCCGACCGCGGCUGCUGCGGCACCGGCCUGUUCGAGGUGACGCUCACCUGCAACAGGUACACGGCGCACGCCUGCAGCGACCCGACCAAGUUCCUCUUCUGGGACACCUACCACCUCACCGAGACGGGCUACAACCUCCUCAUGGCGCAGAUCAUCAAUCGCUACGGCUUGUGGUAG